Molecule: ribosomal RNA, 822 nt
Filed under: Arthrobacter sp.
Lineage: Bacteria; Bacillati; Actinomycetota; Actinomycetes; Micrococcales; Micrococcaceae
Description: bacterial SSU rRNA
Rfam family: Bacterial small subunit ribosomal RNA
Source: RNAcentral
GUGUUAACACAUGCAAGUCGAACGAUGAUCUCCAGCUUGCUGGGGGGAUUAGUGGCGAACGGGUGAGUAACACGUGAGUAACCUGCCCUUGACUCUGGGAUAAGCCUGGGAAACUGGGUCUAAUACCGGAUACGACCGUCCCGCGCAUGCGGUGGUGGUGGAAAGCUUUUGCGGUUUUGGAUGGACUCGCGGCCUAUCAGCUUGUUGGUGGGGUAAUGGCCUACCAAGGCGACGACGGGUAGCCGGCCUGAGAGGGUGACCGGCCACACUGGGACUGAGACACGGCCCAGACUCCUACGGGAGGCAGCAGUGGGGAAUAUUGCACAAUGGGCGAAAGCCUGAUGCAGCGACGCCGCGUGAGGGAUGACGGCCUUCGGGUUGUAAACCUCUUUCAGUAGGGAAGAAGCGAAAGUGACGGUACCUGCAGAAGAAGCGCCGGCUAACUACGUGCCAGCAGCCGCGGUAAUACGUAGGGCGCAAGCGUUAUCCGGAAUUAUUGGGCGUAAAGAGCUCGUAGGCGGUUUGUCGCGUCUGCUGUGAAAGACCGGGGCUCAACUCCGGUUCUGCAGUGGGUACGGGCAGACUAGAGUGAUGUAGGGGAGACUGGAAUUCCUGGUGUAGCGGUGAAAUGCGCAGAUAUCAGGAGGAACACCGAUGGCGAAGGCAGGUCUCUGGGCAUUAACUGACGCUGAGGAGCGAAAGCAUGGGGAGCGAACAGGAUUAGAUACCCUGGUAGUCCAUGCCGUAAACGUUGGGCACUAGGUGUGGGGGACAUUCCACGUUUUCCGCGCCGUAGCUAACGCAUUAAGUGCCCCGCCUGGA